This 482-nucleotide ribosomal RNA is filed under the name uncultured bacterium. RNAcentral's name for it is "partial 16S ribosomal RNA". It matches the Rfam family "Bacterial small subunit ribosomal RNA", at positions 28 to 523 of the family's 1533-position model. The record is from RNAcentral.
AGUGAACGUUGGCGGCGUGGAUUAGGCAUGCAAGUCGAGCGAGAACCGUAGCAAUACGGGGACAGCGGCGAAAGGGACAGUAAUGUGUAGGUACCUACCUCCGGGUUCGGGAUAGCUGCGGGAAACUGCAGGUAAUACCGAAUAACGUCUCCGGACCAAAGGUGUGAUUCCACCUGGAGAGGGGCCUGCAUCCUAUCAGCUUGUUGGCGGGGUAACGGCCCACCAAGGCGACGAUGGGUAGCGGGUGUGAGAGCACGACCCGCGUCAUUGGGACUGAGACACUGCCCAGACACCUACGGGUGGCUGCAGUCGUGAAUCUUCGGCAAUGGGCGCAAGCCUGACCGAGCGACGCCGCGUGCGGGAUGAAGGCCUUCGGGUUGUAAACCGCUGUCGUAGAGGAGGAAAUGCAGGGGGGUUCUCCCCUCUGUUUGACCUAUUCUAGGAGGAAGUACGGGCUAAGUUCGUGCCAGCAGCCGCCGUAA